Non-coding RNA from Camelina sativa (false flax), 709 nucleotides. The record is from RefSeq and is a predicted model, not a curated record. Lineage: Eukaryota; Viridiplantae; Streptophyta; Magnoliopsida; Brassicales; Brassicaceae.
AAAGAAAAGACACUUACGUUUUGUUGUACUUAUUCGGGUUUCUAUCUGAUUUUUAUUAACCUUCUUCCUUCCUUCUUUUUUAGUACAGAACCCAAAUAAUUAGGUCACGAUUGGAAUCCUGUCAAUCUCACUUUCUCGAUUUCUAUAUUCGAUUGCUUCACAAAGUAUACCUGAUUCGAAUUCAAUCUGAUGUUCUGCAAACCCACUAAAUCAAUUCGUUGAAUUCACUCUCGGAUCUUGUACGUUGGUUGGUAUCUGUGGAUGUUAUAAAAGUAUAAUCUUUUAAAACCAAAUAAAGAUAAGUUCAAUUUUGAAUUUCUUUCCAUAACUUACAAUAUUCUCUUUACAUACCCAUACACUAAUAUAUGUUCUUUCAAGGUUUACGACGAUUGAACAGAAAGCCGGACUUAUAACAUCAAAAAUUACAGUCAACUAAAAGCAAACACUGAUUACGUCUUACACGGUUAGCAAGUAGCAAAUCAGGGCUAUUCAUACAACAACGUUUGGUGAAACCUUUGACAUGAUACUCGGUGAUGCCAAAGGUACAAAAUUCACCCUUAUGUGAAAACGGAUAUGAUGAACCGGUUCCUCAAAUUCAAGAGGAGAAGUCUUGCAAUUUAAAUUUGAAUUCAAUAUUCGAAUGUACCAUCUGAUUUUACAUGAAAUGUUGAGAUUAGAGGUUAGAAGCAACUCUGACCUCCUUAUCCUU